RNAcentral lists this ribosomal RNA (848 nucleotides) under uncultured bacterium. RNAcentral's name for it is "bacterial SSU rRNA". It matches the Rfam family "Bacterial small subunit ribosomal RNA", at positions 36 to 891 of the family's 1533-position model. The record is from RNAcentral.
UUGGUGCUAUGCUGCAGUUCGAAGCGACGCAUGCCCAGUUCGUAAGAACAGGGUAUGACGGAGCGGCGAACGGGUGAGUAACACGUGAGCAACCUGCCCCACAGACCGGGAUAGCCCAAGGAAACUUGGAUUAAUACCGGAUUCCCUCGAACAAUCGCAUGGUUGAUCGAGGAAAGGCCUUUGUGCUGUGGGAUGGGCUCGCGGCUUAUCAGCUAGUUGGUGGGGUAAAGGCCUACCAAGGCAUCGACGAGUAGCUGGUCUGAGAGGACGAUCAGCCACACUGGAACUGAGACACGGUCCAGACUCCUACGGGAGGCAGCAGCAGGGAAUCUUGCGCAAUGGGCGAAAGCCUGACGCAGCAACGCCGCGUGGGGGAUGAAGGCCUUCGGGUUGUAAACCCCUUUCAGGAGGGAAGAAAUUGACGGUACCUCCAGAAGAAGGACCGGCCAACUACGUGCCAGCAGCCGCGGUAAUACGUAGGGUCCUAGCGUUAUCCGGAAUCAUUGGGCGUAAAGAGCUCGUAGGCGGUUCAGCAAGUCGGCUGUGAAAGUCCGAGGCUUAACCUCGGAAUUGCAGUCGAUACUGCUGUGACUCGAGUCCGGUAGAGGAGAAUGGAAUUCUCGGUGUAGCGGUGAAAUGCGCAGAUAUCGAGAGGAACACCAGUAGCGAAGGCGGUUCUCUGGGCCGGCACUGACGCUGAGGAGCGAAAGCGUGGGGAGCAAACAGGAUUAGAUACCCUGGUAGUCCACGCCGUAAACGUUGGAUACUAGGUGUGGCGGUUGUACCAACGACUGCCGUGCCGAAGCUAACGCAUUAAGUAUCCCCGCCCUGGGGGAGUACGGCCCCAG